CAGGGAGACAACAAAAUGUUUAAUAUUAUUAUUUUGUCACCUUAGGUCGAUCGGUAUCUCACAUUCUUAAUUUAUUAAGGAUUUUAUUUCCUAAGUUUUUUCUAGGUCACACCCAUUACUUUUCCUGGGCCAUUAGCUCAGGUGGUUAGAGCGCACCCCUGAUAAGGGUGAGGUCCCUGGUUCAAGUCCAGGAUGGCCCAUAUCUCUAUGUUGGGGGUAUAGCUCAGUUGGUAGAGCGCCUGCUUUGCAAGCAGGAUGUCAGCGGUUCGAGUCCGCUUACCUCCACUGAUUACCACCUCUUCCAUAAUUAUUAGGGAAAUGUUUUGAGUAGUGAUCAAAUUCUGAACGAAUCUAGCUUCCUAAUGAAUUCAUUAAGAUGCUGGACUCAUUGAAUUAUUUUCAUUGUUUUCAGAGAACCUUGACAACUGCAUAGAUUAUUUUUAAAGACAAUAAGCAUCUUUAUGAUGCAGAUUUAUUAUUUGUGCGAAUGCAUUAAUAACAAUUCUAUUAAGCUGAUGCUUCAAUUAUGAAGUUAUU
Molecule: transfer RNA, 537 nt
Filed under: uncultured cyanobacterium
Lineage: Bacteria; Bacillati; Cyanobacteriota
Also listed under: 1 other name
Description: partial miscellaneous RNA
Rfam family: tRNA (bases 213-285)
Source: RNAcentral